RNAcentral lists this ribosomal RNA (1558 nucleotides) under Pristimantis bromeliaceus (bromeliad robber frog). RNAcentral's name for it is "16S ribosomal RNA". It matches the Rfam family "Bacterial large subunit ribosomal RNA", at positions 380 to 2925 of the family's 2925-position model. Lineage: Eukaryota; Metazoa; Chordata; Amphibia; Anura; Strabomantidae. The record is from RNAcentral.
CUAAACAUCCAGCCUUCUCCCCCAAUCUCUUCUAAACACAAACUAAAAUAUUCUAAAAGUCUAGUAAAGAAGAUUAAAAAACUCCUAAGAGCUGUAAAUCUGUACCGCAAGGGAUAGAUGAAAUAAAAAUGAAAUAACUUCAAGCACAAAAUAGUAGAGACAUACUCUCGUACCUUUUGCAUCAUGAUUUAGCUAGUCUAAUUAGGCAAAAAGACCUAAAGUCUAACCCCCCGAAACUAAGUGAGCUAAUUUAGGGCCGCUUUAUGAGCCCACCCGUCUAUGUUGUAAAAUAGUGGGAAGACCCUAAAAUAGAGGUGACAGACCUAACGAACUUAGUGAUAGCUGGUUUCUCAAGAAAAGAAUAUAGUUCAACAUAAAAUAAAAUUAACCUAUAAAAUUAUCACCCCCUUAUUUUAAAGCAAUUCAAAUGAGGUACAGCCCAUUUGAUACAGGACUCAACCUUCACUAAUGGCUAAUAUCCGAUUCACACCUAGAAGUAGGCUUAAAAACAGCCACCUUUUAAAAAGCGUCACAGCUUAACUAUGUAAAUCUUAAUCUACAAAUUACCAUCGACCCCUUUUACAGUACUGAGAACCUCUAUAAAUCUAUAGAGCUUUUUAUGCUAAAACUAGUAACAAGAGAUCCUUUCUCUCUUUAAUGCAAGCUUAACCUAGUAUGAACAACUACUAGCAAUUAACAGAAUUAAACAAAUGUAGUAACUCCACUAGAAAAAUCUACCUUACCCACUGUUAACCUAACACCAGAGCAUUUCAAGAAAGAUUUAAAGAAAAAGAAGGAAUUCAGCAAACAAUAGCCCCGCCUGUUUACCAAAAACAUCGCCUCUUGACCCCCUAUAAGAGGUCCAGCCUGCCCAGUGACUCUGUUCAACGGCCGCGGUAUCCUAACCGUGCGAAGGUAGCGUAAUCACUUGUCUUCUAAAUAGAGACCAGUAUGAAAGGCACCACGAGGGCUAAACUGUCUCCUUUCUCUAAUCAGUGAACCUAAUCUCCCCGUGAAGAAGCGGGGAUCUUCCUAUAAGACGAGAAGACCCUAUGGAGCUUAAAACAUCGUAACACCUGCUAAAUCUUAAAUUCCCUCCUAGCACACUGAUUACAAGUUUUUGGUUGGGGCGACCAUGGAGAAAAAUAGAUCCUCCAUAUUGAAAGAGAGCCUCCCUAAACAAUAAGUUACAACUUUAUGCAUCAAUAAAUUGACAUUCUUGACCCAACAUUUGAUCAACGAACCAAGUUACCCUAGGGAUAACAGCGCAAUCCACUUCAAGAGCCCCUAUCGACAAGUGGGCUUACGACCUCGAUGUUGGAUCGGGGUAUCCCAGUGGUGCAGCCACUACUAAAGGUUCGUUUGUUCAACGAUUAAAACCCCACGUGAUCUGAGUUCAGACCGGAGCAAUCCAGGUCAGUUUCUAUCUAUAAAGAGCUCUUUUCAGUACGAAAGGACCAAAACAGCAUGGCCUAUGCCAUCUUAAGCCAUAAUUAAUCACUUUUGACUACAGCUCAAAAAACUAUUAAUCUCCCACCUCCACCUUCAAGAAAAGAAC